CCUACGGGCGGCAGCAGUGGGGGAUAUUGCACAAUGGGGGAAACCCUGAUGCAGCGACGCCGCGUGUGGGAAGACGGUCUUCUGGAUUGUAAACCACUGUCCCCAGGGACGAAAAAGACAGUACCUGUAGAAUAAGCUCCGGCUAACUACGUGCCAGCAGCCGCGGUAAUACGUAGGGAGCAAGCGUUAUCCGGAUUUAUUGGGUGUAAAGGGUGCGUAGACGGAGAAGCAAGUUAGUUGUGAAAUCCCUCGGCUUAACUGAGGAACUGCAACUAAAACUACUUCCCUUGAGUACUGGAGAGGAAAGUGGAAUUCCUAGUGUAGCGGUGAAAUGCGUAGAUAUUAGGAGGAACACCAGUGGCGAAGGCGACUUUCUGGACAGUAACUGACGUUGAGGCACGAAAGUGUGGGGAGCAAACAGGAUUAGAUACCCGAGUAGUC
Molecule: ribosomal RNA, 441 nt
Filed under: uncultured bacterium
Lineage: Bacteria
Description: partial 16S ribosomal RNA
Rfam family: Bacterial small subunit ribosomal RNA
Source: RNAcentral